GUGAGGAAUAUUGGACAAUGGGCGCAAGCCUGAUCCAGCCAUGCCGCGUGCAGGAAGACGCAUCUAUGGUGUGUAAACUGCUUUUGUACGGGAAGAAACACUCCCUCGUGAGGGAGCUUGACGGUACCGUAAGAAUACGGAUCGGCUAACUCCGUGCCAGCAGCCGCGGUAAUACGGAGGAUCCCAGCGUUAUCCGGCAUCAUUGGGUUUAAAGGGUCCGUAGGCGGUUUAAUAAGUCAGUGGUGAAGGCCCAUCGCUCAACGAUGGAACUGCCAUUGAUACUGUUAGACUUGAAUUGCAAGGAAGUAACUAGAAUAUGUAGUGUAGCUGUGAAAUGCUUAGAUAUUACAUGGAAUACCAAUUGCGAAGGCAGGUUACUACUUGUGGAUUGACGCUGAGGGACUAAAGCGUGGGGAGCGAACAGGAUUAGAAACCCGGGUAGUCC
This 445-nucleotide ribosomal RNA is filed under the name uncultured bacterium. RNAcentral describes it as "partial 16S ribosomal RNA". It matches the Rfam family "Bacterial small subunit ribosomal RNA", at positions 354 to 796 of the family's 1533-position model. The record is from RNAcentral.